UACGGAGGGUGCAAGCGUUACUCGGAGUCAUUGGGCGUAAAGCGCACGUAGGCGGUCUUUUAAGUCCGGCGUGAAAUCCUGGGGCUCAACCUCAGAUGGCCGUUGGAAACUGAAAGACUUGAGUGUGGAAGGGGUCAGUGGAAUUCCUGGUGUAGGAGUGAAAUCCGUAGAGAUCAGGAGGAACACCGGUGGCGAAGGCGACUGACUGGGCCAUUUCUGACGCUAAUGUGCAAAAGCGUGGGGAGCAAACAGG
This 253-nucleotide ribosomal RNA is filed under the name uncultured bacterium. Its description in RNAcentral is "partial 16S ribosomal RNA". It matches the Rfam family "Bacterial small subunit ribosomal RNA", at positions 524 to 776 of the family's 1533-position model. The record is from RNAcentral.